Molecule: long non-coding RNA, 1789 nt
Organism: Dreissena polymorpha
Lineage: Eukaryota; Metazoa; Mollusca; Bivalvia; Myida; Dreissenidae
Exons: 7
Source: RefSeq, a predicted model, not a curated record
GUGAAUUCUGGUUGUCAAGUGUUGUGUUGUUUAUGAGGGAUUAUAUUUGGUAGAUUCUGAAUUAAAAAUGAAUGAUUGUGUACAAGGUUGAACAAAGGUGUUGCAGCACUUCUAAAGCAACGAUGGCCAUCCAUUGUAAUGACCCUUUGCCUUGUACAUCGCCUUGAAUUGUCCUUCAAAGAUGCAGUGAAAAAGGCGUCCCCCGGUCUUUAUGAAAAGACUACAGCACUUCUUCUUGGGUUGUUUUAUCUUUUAAGAAAGAGCCCAAAAGAGAAAAAAGGUCUGCUUCACACGUUCGAAGCCCUUGGUGAUGGGAACACCAGAGUUUUUGUGCUUCAAUUUACUUAGAUACAGUGUACGGUGAGAAAGAGAUUGCAGUGCUGUUCAAUCACUUCAGGCCAGUGGCGUUUCCUGAUGUUCUCGUUACUCUGGAAGAUGUCACUGAUGAGUGGUCAACAUUACGCACAUUGGUCUACAAAAGGUAUCCUGACUUGACCAUCGUUAACUGGACACAGGUGAUGAUUGACAUGGCAGCCCAAAACCAGAACAUUUUUCAACUGAUACAAAUUGUUCUGGCUCUACCACCAACAUCGGUCAAUUGCGAGACAGCUUUCAGUGCAAUGAAACUUCUCAAAAUAAACGGAGGGGACGGCUUGAUAAUGCACGCCUCAAUGAUUUGAUGUCGAUUAAGAUAAUGUCCCCAAGAAUUGAAGAUUUUGACCCGGAACCUGCCAUUGCUGACUGACUGAUGUCCGCACCAUCUGGGCAAAAGCGUAGAAUCCGCAAAGAACCAGAUGUGACAUCUGGAAGCAGUAGCAGUACAUCUGCAAUAGUUGUUGAAGAUUCUGACGACACAGAAGCCGACACAGAAGUGAGGGCUUGUCCUUCUACUAGUGCACAGGGCAUAGCUGAGAUGAUGGACAUAGAUGACAGUGGUUCCGACUCUGAAGAUGAUAACCUUGAGAUGUCUGAGGACCUUGUGUCAAAUUUGUGUGAUAUUAACCAUGAAUAAAAACAAAACCAAGUUUUCUUUUGAAAAUAUGUAUUGUUCAAUGUCACUUUUUUACAAAAAUAGUUUCAAAUGCUACAGAAUAGUAACUUUUUUCGGGCUAGUAAAACUUGAUUCGGGCUAGUGACAUUUCCAAGCUGGUAGCCCGGUUCUGUUAUUCAAAACAUUGUUUUGCAGUAACUCAUGAUGUAGAAUGAUUACAACAAAGACUGACAGAAUGAGUUCAUACGCAUAAAAAUGUUUUGUAUAAACAUGUAAUAGUCAUUUUUUAAUGUGAAAUUCUGUUCAAAUACACCCAAAUACAUUACUCCUGUGCAUUUUUAUAAUUAAUGUGAUAGUUGUUACAUUUAAAAAAAGGACUGACCAAUAAUCUGUGUUAUUGAUGAAUCAAACAUGUUGAUUUAUUUUAUUUUUUUCUUAUCGCUUUGAAUCUGUUAUCAGCUUGUUUUAAAAGUUGCUGGAAUUAACUAGUUUACCUAUUAACUUGUAUUUUGAACCAUAAUGCAUAUUUCUGGCACAUAUGGCUUACCUCCCUUCAAGGAUGUACACAUUAGUGUGCUUUCAACUGCUAGAACUUUUAUUCUAUAAGAUUUUUGUAACUGUAUAAAUUGUUUAUUUGAUCACUUUGGUCACUUUUUCAUGCAACAGUGUUGUGGCCCCGCAUUUUGCUUGUUACCCAAUUAUGAUACCCUGUUACUGACUGUUGUCUAUGUAUUUUUGUUAUGUAUUUCAAUGCAGAAACAUUGAAUGCCUUUACCGAUAAAAAUCAAAAUCUAAAUA